Molecule: ribosomal RNA, 454 nt
Filed under: uncultured Bacteroidales bacterium
Lineage: Bacteria; Pseudomonadati; Bacteroidota; Bacteroidia; Bacteroidales
Description: bacterial SSU rRNA
Rfam family: Bacterial small subunit ribosomal RNA
Source: RNAcentral
GGCCCGCACAAGCGGAGGAGCAUGUGGUUUAAUUCGAUGAUACGCGAGGAACCUUACCUAGACUUGAACGUAAGAGGGAUAUUUAAGAAAUUAGAUAGCCAGCAAUGGCCUCUUACGAGGUGCUGCAUGGUUGUCGUCAGCUCGUGCCGUGAGGUGUCAGGUUAAGUCCUAUAACGAGCGCAACCCCUGCACAUAGUUGCCAGCAUGUAAUGAUGGGGAAACUCUAUGUGGACUGCCGGCGCAAGCCGCGAGGAAGGUGGGGAUGACGUCAAAUCAGCACGGCCCUUACGUCUAGGGCGACACACGUGCUACAAUGGCCGAUACAGAGGGCAGCUACCUGGCGACAGGAUGCGAAUCUCGAAAGUCGGUCUCAGUUCGGAUCGGAGUCUGCAACUCGACUCCGUGAAGUCGGAUUCGCUAGUAAUCGCGCAUCAGCCAUGGCGCGGUGAAUACG